This 515-nucleotide ribosomal RNA is filed under the name uncultured bacterium. RNAcentral's name for it is "partial 16S ribosomal RNA". It matches the Rfam family "Bacterial small subunit ribosomal RNA", at positions 28 to 523 of the family's 1533-position model. The record is from RNAcentral.
GAUGAACGCUGGCGGCGUGCCUAAUACAUGCAAGUCGAGCGAAUGGAUUAAGAGCUUGCUCUUAUGAAGUUAGCGGCGGACGGGUGAGUAACACGUGGGUAACCUGCCCAUAAGACUGGGAUAACUCCGGGAAACCGGGGCUAAUACCGGAUAAUAUUUUGAACUGCAUGGUUCAAAAUUGAAAGGCGGCUUCGGCUGUCACUUAUGGAUGGACCCGGGUCGCAUUAGCUAGUUGGUGAGGUAACGGCUAACCAAGGCAACGAUGCGUAGCCGACCUGAGAGGGUGAUCGGCGACACUGGGACUGGGACACGGCCCAGACUCCUACGGGAGGCAGCAGUAGGGAAUCUUCCGCAAUGGACGAAAGUCUGACGGAGCAACGCCGCGUGAGUGGUGAAGGCUUUCGGGUCGUAAAACUCUGUUGUUAGGGAAGAACAAGUGCUAGUUGAAUAAGCUGGCACCUUGACGGUACCUAACCAGAAAGCCACGGCUAACUACGUGCCAGCCGCCGCAGUAA